Lynx canadensis (Canada lynx) is the source of this 324-nucleotide long non-coding RNA. RefSeq lists it as uncharacterized. The transcript has 3 exons. NCBI's taxonomy places the organism in Eukaryota, Metazoa, Chordata, Mammalia, Carnivora, Felidae. The record is from RefSeq and is a predicted model, not a curated record.
CCACCUUAGCUACUGAUUUCAUUGAAUAGAAAACUUCCAUUCUCAAAAUUUGCAUUUCUACAUAAAUUAUUUAUUUAAAUUUUGUUGUAUAAAUUGCCUCAUUUAUUAUAGGCUAGCAAUAUUUCAAAUGGUGGAGCUUCUUUCAACUCCUUCAGUCUUCUCAUGACUGACUUUGCUGUGACAGCAGACGUGGUGUUGUAGUUCCAGGCACCACCUGCUCGCUAUGGUUUGCAUGCAGGAACCACAAUGCCAGAUCCCCACAGCUCAUCUUUUCAUCUUGGUUUUGCCACACAAGGAGGAAGAGAUGGAAGAGCACACGUGUGA